This 921-nucleotide long non-coding RNA is filed under the name Homo sapiens (human). RNAcentral describes it as "HSALNT0378824". Lineage: Eukaryota; Metazoa; Chordata; Mammalia; Primates; Hominidae. The record is from RNAcentral.
UGAAAUUCUUGGGUCAUAAGGUUUGCACAAAAAGCAGCUCUUUUGAGGAACUGAAAGGAACAGGUGGCUUGAAAGAGGAGCGGGGAGCUAAUGAGAUGAGGGGUCAAAAUUUCUCAAGCCCUGUGAACACGGCAAGGAGGCUGAUUUUCAAGAGAUGUGCAGGGGGAGGCCAGGGAGUGACAUGCUCCAAUGACAUUUUAAGAUCACCCUGGAGAGUGAGGUUGGAGACCACCAUGGGGGACAAGGAAACAGAUGAAGCCAAGAACCCUCCCAAGCUAAGCCCCAAUUCUUGGGCUCACCUGUCUUGCAUCACAGCCCACUUUCAAGGGAGGAGAAAAGAGAUUCUCCUGUUUCAUGUGAGGAGCAGCAUGCCCCUGUGGGAAGGGAAGAGUUGGUGGGGGUCUUCUUUGGAUGACACUGGCUACCAAGGAUGGAUUUGGACUUAUUGCUGGCUUGGAUAAAGGCUUUUUGUUUGUUUUUGCUUUGUUUUGGAAUCUACAUGUUGAAAUCAAUUUGAACAGCAGGAAACAUACAUACUUUUCCAGCACAGCCACAGUGUUUGGGAUGCUCAGGGGUCAGAGGCAGAAAUGUCCCCAGCAUUUCACACACACAGAAGAAAGCUUUCUGCAAAGGGCAAUGGAGAGACUUUUUGCUCCUGGCCUAAUAGGGAAAACUUGCCCCUUGUGAUCUUGUUUACCUAAGACCAACAAUUGCCUGAAAGUAUUUCUUAGUGAAUUUCUAACUUGAACUAUUCUCCUCAAAGGCUGCUGCUGCAGAGCAGAAAGAUCAGACUUGGUUUCCGCAAAACACCUGGACUCCAGUUACUUCUUGGCUAACCUAAUGACUUAUGUGACCUUGGGGACAUUACUGAACUUUUUUGUCCUUUGUUUCCUCAUCAAUAAAAUCAGGAUGAUAACCGUA